AAAAAGAGAUUUGCAUUAUAAUUUCAACCCUCAUCUCAUUGUCCUGGCUGUCCUGCUCAUCCUGCUGGCAGUGGUGGCCGAGGGGAUGGAGGUGGGACAGCAGCAAGAAGAUGCAAAGUGUCUCCUCCAGGAGCUCCAGCCCCACAACAUUUCUUUGUUCCUUUGGCUGCUCUGAGCCUCCCGUGGCUACAAAGGGCCUGGCUGGUCACAGGUUUGGAUGGGGGAAGGCACAGUGUCCUCUUUUUGGGGUUUUUUGGAGUUUUAUUUUGCUUUGGUUCACAGGUUUCACAGUGUUCCCUUUUUGGGGUUUUUGGGGUUUUUAUUGCUUUGGUUCAUGUUCUGGAAUUGCUGUGUGGGAAGGAAGGGCUGGGGAAUGGGUCAGGGCUUUGUGUUUGCAUUGCUGCCCUCUGAACCUGCCUUAAGCACCCCUUUAGUGGUGGCACCUUUGGAGGUGGCACCUUUGGUGGCACUUUGGGUAGUGGCACCUUUGGUGGUGGGAAAAAAGGAGCUGCUCUGCCCCUCUUCCUGCAGGGUGACCCUGGUUAAAACACCCCAAAAACCCCAAAACCCCAGAGACCAGCAAGAGGGGUUCC
Long non-coding RNA from Melozone crissalis (California towhee), 593 nucleotides. RefSeq lists it as uncharacterized. The record is from RefSeq and is a predicted model, not a curated record. Lineage: Eukaryota; Metazoa; Chordata; Aves; Passeriformes; Passerellidae. The transcript has 3 exons.